GGAGGAAGUAGGGGAUCGCAAGACCUUGCGCUUUUGGAGCGGCCGAUGCCUGAUUAGCUUGUUGGUGAGGUAAAAGCUCACCAAGGCUCCGAUCAGUAGCUGGUCUGAGAGGACGACCAGCCACACUGGGACUGAGACACGGCCCAGACUCCUACGGGAGGCAGCAGUGGGGAAUUUUGGACAAUGGGGGCAACCCUGAUCCAGCCAUGCCGCGUGAGUGAAGAAGGCCUUCGGGUUGUAAAGCUCUUUCAGCCGGAACGAAACGGUCACGGUCAAUACCCGUGACUACUGACGGUACCGGAAGAAGAAGCACCGGCUAACUACGUGCCAGCAGCCGCGGUAAUACGUAGGGUGCGAGCGUUAAUCGGAAUUACUGGGCGUAAAGCGUGCGCAGGCGGCUUUGUAAGUCAGAUGUGAAAUCCCCGGGCUUAACCUGGGAACUGCGUUUGAAACUACAAGGCUAG
Molecule: ribosomal RNA, 464 nt
Filed under: uncultured bacterium
Lineage: Bacteria
Description: bacterial SSU rRNA
Rfam family: Bacterial small subunit ribosomal RNA
Source: RNAcentral